Molecule: ribosomal RNA, 423 nt
Filed under: uncultured Blautia sp.
Lineage: Bacteria; Bacillati; Bacillota; Clostridia; Lachnospirales; Lachnospiraceae
Description: bacterial SSU rRNA
Rfam family: Bacterial small subunit ribosomal RNA
Source: RNAcentral
GGGGGAAUAUUGCACAAUGGGGGGAAACCCUGAUGCAGCGACGCCGCGUGAAGGAAGAAGUAUCUCGGUAUGUAAACUUCUAUCAGCAGGGAAGAAAAUGACGGUACCUGACUAAGAAGCCCCGGCUAACUACGUGCCAGCAGCCGCGGUAAUACGUAGGGGGCAAGCGUUAUCCGGAUUUACUGGGUGUAAAGGGAGCGUAGACGGUAUGGCAAGUCUGAUGUGAAGGGCUGGGGCUCAACCCCGGGACUGCAUUGGAAACUGUCGAACUAGAGUGCCGGAGGGGUAAGCGGAAUUCCUGGUGUAGCGGUGAAAUGCGUAGAUAUCAGGAGGAACACCGGUGGCGAAGGCGGCCUGCUGGACAGUAACUGACGCUGAGGCUCGAAAGCGUGGGGAGCAAACAGGAUUAGAUACCCUGGUAGU